RNAcentral lists this ribosomal RNA (274 nucleotides) under uncultured bacterium. RNAcentral describes it as "partial 16S ribosomal RNA". It matches the Rfam family "Bacterial small subunit ribosomal RNA", at positions 523 to 796 of the family's 1533-position model. The record is from RNAcentral.
AUACGGAGGAGGCAAGCGUUGUUCGGAAUCGCUGGGCUUAAAGAGCGUGUAGGCGGCCGAUCAAGUAUUGAGUGAAAGCCCCGGGCUUAACCUGGGAAUUGCUUGAUAUACUGAUUGGCUUGAGUCAGACAGGGGUGCCUGGAACAAUAGGUGGAGCGGUGAAAUGCGUAGAUAUCUAUUGGAACGCCUGAGGCGAAAGCGGGGCACUGGGUCUGCACUGACGCUGAGACGCGAAAGCGUAGGGAGCGAACGGGAUUAGAAACCCCAGUAGUCC